Molecule: long non-coding RNA, 704 nt
Organism: Canis lupus familiaris (dog)
Lineage: Eukaryota; Metazoa; Chordata; Mammalia; Carnivora; Canidae
Exons: 3
Source: RefSeq, a predicted model, not a curated record
GAUGACUAAUCAUGUAGCAGAUCUGAACAUAAAGGUUCUAGUGAAAAAAUAAAAAUUACAAUAAAAGUGUAUUUGCUCCCUGAUUUGAAAGUACAGAAUGUUUUCUGUGCCUUUUAGAUAUGGGGAACUAUGACACUCAAAACAAUGGUAACCAUGGCGAAAGUACCUUACAAAAUAAAUGAAAAAAAAGAAAGAGAGAGAGAGAUGUGGGGAAAGAGUAGGAAGCAGUUGGUGAAGUAACAGGCUGGUUCCACAUUGUGACUUAGGAAAAAUUCCUGGCUAACUUAGGCUUUAAGAAAAAUCAAGAUGGAUCCUAAGAAGAUUAAGAAGAGAACUUAAAAGACUGCAAUAAAGUCUCUAUCUUAGUAUUAUAACUAACUGCUUCAUUUCUCAUGGAAAUUUCUGUUUGGAGGGAGCAUUCUGUAUCCUUGAAGUAGACAGAAUUGUGAAACACUCUUAAACCAUUGAGCAGCAGAAAUUAGAGACCAAGUUUGCAACCAGCCAGUCAUUUGCAAUAUCUGCAGAUACUGUCAUUCCUCUAGAAGUGGAAUUCCUCUAGUAGAAGCCGCCUUAGCCAUCUUUCUGAAAUAAUUCCUCCAUUCCAUUCCUUCAUCCAUUCUGACCCUAGAGGUUCAAUAUAUAUUGAAGCUUAUUUUUAAAUAGAAGGGAAAUAAAACUACUUACAUCUGAGAUUCAGGCUUAUA